This 674-nucleotide long non-coding RNA is filed under the name Capra hircus (goat). Its description in RNAcentral is "lncRNA (ENSCHIG00000002158.1)". The record is from RNAcentral. Lineage: Eukaryota; Metazoa; Chordata; Mammalia; Artiodactyla; Bovidae.
UAGGAAGAUACUUGAGGCCAACAGUUUGUCAAGAACAUUCUUGAUGACAUCAAGGAAAUAAUAUUUGAAGUUUUCUUUUGAAUGUGAGCAUAAGCAAUACUUUGAGUCCACUAUCCCCACAGGACUAUGUGGCCUUAAGGAAGGAGAUGAUUACAGCUGAAUAUCAGAGGAUACCUCUGUCGCUCCGGGAGGAGGAGCAACUGCAUCUGCAGGCCCUGGAGCGAGAAGCCAAGGAGAUUUGUGAACAACUCGAGUACAGUGUGUUCAGAAUGACUCAGUACAGAGCAAGUCUGAAAGAAAUGUACAGAGAGCUGACUGGGAUGUGCUGCAAGCCGGACGGGGAGCUGCUCCAGGUCUUGGCAAAUGUAUUGGAAAUGACUGACUUGGCAGAGACGCAGAAGCCUCAGCCAGUGAACCCAGAGCUCACUUGCUGGCCUGUCACUGGAAUCCUAGACACACUGAACAGCUUCAGAGUGGAUAACAUUCUGAGUCAGACAAUGACCAUUCACCACAUGAGCCUUUCUGAGGAUGGUGAUGAUGCAAGUUUGAUGUUCAGAGAUGAGCACCACGGAGCAUGCAGACAGCCUCAGAUUGUGGAGAGUGUCAUGUCCUGGGGCUCUCGGGCCUUCACCUCCGGGAGGCAUUACUGGGAGCUGGACGUGACGUACUCCUCC